AUCCAGCCGACGAGUCCCAAAUAGGACGGGACGCGCGUCAAAUUGGAU
This is a non-coding RNA of Schistosoma margrebowiei, 48 nucleotides long. The record is from Rfam. Lineage: Eukaryota; Metazoa; Platyhelminthes; Trematoda; Strigeidida; Schistosomatidae.